Molecule: ribosomal RNA, 794 nt
Filed under: uncultured archaeon
Lineage: Archaea
Description: bacterial SSU rRNA
Rfam family: Archaeal small subunit ribosomal RNA
Source: RNAcentral
ACAGCUCAGUAACACGUGGACAACCUACCCAAAGGUCUGGGAUAACUCCGGGAAACUGGGGAUAAUACCGGAUAGGUCAAGAGUACUGGAAGGGUUUUUUGAUUGAAAGCUCUGGCGCCUUUGGAUGGGUCUGCGGCUGAUUAGGUUGACGCCGGUGUAAAGUACCGGCGUGCCGAUUAUCAGUACGGGUUGUGGGAGCAAGAGCCCGGAGAUGGAUUCUGAGACACGAAUCCAGGCCCUACGGGGCGCAGCAGGCGCGAAAACUCUACAAUGCAGGCAACUGCGAUAGGGGAACAUCGAGUGGCAUCUACAUUAGGUGUCUGUCCAGCUGUCUAAAAAACGGCUGUUAGCAAGGGCCGGGCAAGACCGGUGCCAGCCGCCGCGGUAAUACCGGCGGCUCGAGUGGUGGCCGAUAUUAUUGAGUCUAAAGGGUCCGUAGCCGGCUUUGCAAGUCUUGUGGGAAAUCCAGCGGCUUAACCGUUGGGCGUCUGCGGGAUACUACAUUGCUUGGGACUGGGAGAGGUAGGAGGUACUCAGGGGGUAGGAGUGAAAUCCUGUAAUCCUCUGGGGACCACCGGUGGCGAAGGCGUCCUACCAGAACAGGUCCGACGGUGAGGGACGAAAGCUAGGGGCACGAACCGGAUUAGAUACCCGGGUAGUCCUAGCCGUAAACGAUGCCCGCUAGGUGUCACGGCAGUCGUGAACUGCCGUGGUGCCGUAGGGAAGCCGUGAAGCGGGCCACUUGGGAAGUACGACCGCAAGGUUGAAACUUUAAGGAAUUGGCGGGGGAGCAC